CCAGACUCCUACGGGAGGCAGCAGUAGGGAAUUUUGCGAAAUGGGCGAAAGCCUGACGCAGCAACGCCGCGUGAUUGAUUAAGCCCUUCGGGGUGUAAAGAUCUGUCAGUGGGGACGAAACUUGACGGUACCCACAGAGGAAGCACCGGCUAACUCCGUGCCAGCAGCCGCGGUAAUACGGAGGGUGCAAGCGUUGUCCGGAAUCAUUGGGCGUAAAGAGUUCGUAGGUGGCAUAUUAAGUCUGGUGUUAAAUGCAGAAGCUCAACUUCUGUUCGGCACUGGAUACUGGUAAGCUUGAAUGCGGUAGAGGUAAAGGGAAUUCCUGGUGUAGCGGUGAAAUGCGUAGAUAUCAGGAGGAACAUCAGUGGCGAAGGCGACUAUCUGGCACAUAACUGACGCUGAGGAGCGAAAGCGUGGGUAGCAAACAGGAUUAGAUACCCCGGUAA
RNAcentral lists this ribosomal RNA (446 nucleotides) under uncultured bacterium. RNAcentral's name for it is "bacterial SSU rRNA". It matches the Rfam family "Bacterial small subunit ribosomal RNA", at positions 331 to 793 of the family's 1533-position model. The record is from RNAcentral.